CAAACCCUUAGCUUGUGUUCCGGGGGCUUCAAGGCAGUGUUUCCAAAUAUGUCUAUUAUACUUGUACAGUAAGUGCCUUUGGGCUUGUUUCUUCAGCUGGUUCCGUGUGGGAGCUCUCGCCUUCAUCACUGUGAAUGGAACAGAUAAGGAUCAGUCAAAUCCAGUGGGAAGUGAACAGCAUGUUAACACAGCCCCGAGCAUCAGUGGGAAGCGUGCCUUCGGAUAAAAGGCCGUGUGAGGAUCUUUGCCUGAAAGAGCAGAGCGGUUGCGUCGCACCCGGGCUCCAUCGUGUGCAGGAUCCGUGUUGCGGUGAAACUCUGGACCUCAACCAGCUUCACAGAUGAGAACGCCUCAAGGGAAAAUUAAUAAGCAAUUUUCUGAUAAUACAAACCCAUUACCCUCACAGCCAACAUAAAACCAACAGUCCAUUACGUGAAUGUGGACGUUGCUGAUUUUUUUUACAGUGUAAUGGAACACAGAGUUUAUCUCUUGCUCCCUGCAUUUUAAAUGCAAACAGGUGUGAAUGAGAGAGAGAAUCUGAAGGGACAGAAGAGCAUCUCAUAAACAAAUCUGUUUCUCCUAAACUUUCAUUUAGCACAAACUACUGCAUAGUUGAAAUACUAGUCUGGCCUGAGCUUUGCCUAUUAUUUAUUAUGCUCACAUUCUUACGUUCAAACUAAUACUGCAAAGAUUGCAGGGUCUCUGAUUCCCAUCGAAGCCAGUGGCCUUGGAGCUCGUCUGUGAAUUUGGAUUUUAACAUGAAAGGUGGUGAUAAGACGAGCUGAAGUCGUCUGCCUUAAUGUGGGAAUGAAUCCACAGUGAACCCAUAAAACCAAGAAGAAAAACUGAAUUUGAUCACUUUCUAACAGUCUCUCUCUCUCUUUUAAACUCAACAGUGCAGCACAUUUAACACAUUAAAGCGCCAGAUAACUAUGUCCUUCUGGAAGGCUGGAUUCAAGCUUAGAGCCUCUGAACAGUUCACUUAAGUUAACACCCACUGUAUUCCUCCCUCUCCACCUGCCAUCAGGCGUCCUUAUGUUUGCUUCCUGUUAUCUGCUCGCUGUUCGUCGAACCUCUGCAGCGAGCUGCAGAUGGCACCUUUAAGGCGAUUUUAUUUUUAAUAGCUGUUUACAGUACAAUCUCUGCAGCGAUUUCACUUUGCACAUCGAUGUUCGGUGCCGCUCGUCAGCUCCUCCUUGUUUUCAGUGCAUUUCCACCCACACAGUCUUAUCAGCUCUGCUAGAGACAGUAAUCAAACCACAUAUUGUAUGGAUGUGGAGGGAGUGAAGGGUGGGGGCAACAUGGUGGUUUUUAUUGCAGGGGCAGAGUAGCUGAAACUCUGACAAUAACAUAUUUUAGGCCACCUGACAUGAUAGAUGAGACGGUCCACCCUGUAGGAUAUUACCAUUUUUCUGUGGCGCAUCCUUUCGCCCGGCUCGCUCUCAGCCAGGAGCUUGAAUUCUAUAAAUACUGAAAGAGUGGCACCCCUUUAAAGUUUGCUCAAUUCCAACACUUAUCUUGACAGCACAUUUUUGUUGUUGGUUUUUUCCCCUGCAGACCCCGCUGUUUGCAUUGGAGCCGUUUUUUGUCGACAGGGACACAUUCAUCAUGUAAUAAAGUGAUGCAAGCUGUUACAAGAUGCCAAAAUACAAAGCCUGCGAGUUCUGUACAGUAGCGGACGG
This is a long non-coding RNA of Betta splendens (Siamese fighting fish), 1682 nucleotides long. RefSeq lists it as uncharacterized. Lineage: Eukaryota; Metazoa; Chordata; Actinopteri; Anabantiformes; Osphronemidae. The record is from RefSeq and is a predicted model, not a curated record. The transcript has 3 exons.